Molecule: ribosomal RNA, 676 nt
Filed under: uncultured bacterium
Lineage: Bacteria
Description: bacterial SSU rRNA
Rfam family: Bacterial small subunit ribosomal RNA
Source: RNAcentral
GCGGUAACAGAUCCAGCUUGCUGGAUGCUGACGAGCGGCGGACGGGUGAGUAAUGCAUAGGAAUUUACCCGAUAGUGGGGGAUAACCUGGGGAAACUCAGGCUAAUACCGCAUACGUCCUACGGGAGAAAGGGGGCUUCGGCUCACGCUAUCGGAUGAGCCUAUGCCGGAUUAGCUAGUUGGUGAGGUAAUGGCUCACCAAGGCGACGAUCCGUAGCUGGUCUGAGAGGAUGAUCAGCCACAUCGGGACUGAGACACGGCCCGAACUCCUACGGGAGGCAGCAGUGGGGAAUAUUGGACAAUGGGGGCAACCCUGAUCCAGCCAUGCCGCGUGUGUGAAGAAGGCCCUCGGGUUGUAAAGCACUUUCAGUGAGGAAGAACGCCUGAUGGUUAAUACCCGUCAGGAAAGACAUCACUCACAGAAGAAGCACCGGCUAACUCCGUGCCAGCAGCCGCGGUAAUACGGAGGGUGCAAGCGUUAAUCGGAAUUACUGGGCGUAAAGCGCGCGUAGGUGGCUUGAUAAGCCGGUUGUGAAAGCCCCGGGCUCAACCUGGGAACGGCAUCCGGAACUGUCAGGCUAGAGUGCAGGAGAGGAAGGUAGAAUUCCCGGUGUAGCGGUGAAAUGCGUAGAGAUCGGGAGGAAUACCAGUGGCGAAGGCGGCCUUCUGGACUGACA